GCAUCGUACCAAAGGUGAUGAACUCUUAUGAAGUGGUGUACAAGGAUGUACUAAUGAUUCUUUCAAGGCAACAGGUGAUUCUUUCAAGGCAAGAGGUGUUAGGAAGUGACAGAUUUUUGUAUCUUGCUGAUAACUUGGAUGCUGAUGGAAAGAUGGAUGUAAUGCACCUGAGGGAUCAUCUCUUGACCAUUGCUUGAGAUAGAGAUAUUCAUCUUAUUGGAGAAACUAGGUGGAUAAACAGUUCAGAUGAAGGCAUGGAAGCACAUGCAUAUGUGUGUUCAUUCUGAGAUGACUUCAUCCAGGGCUGUUUGCUGUGAGAGGGCUAUGAUGUGAUGGAGCACAAGUUGAUCAGACUGAUGAGGUAUCCCCAUGGUAACAUUGACAAAAGGCAACCAGUAGUCGAUGAUUUGAAAAGCAUAAGAAUGGAGUUGGCAACCUACAUGACACUCAAGCACGCUUUCUCUUGCAAUUAAAUCCCAUACUAAAAUUAUUGCCUCGGGUGCAUGAACCUGCGACAUGCGUCAAUGCAUCUUGUGGCAAUUAUUAAAGCAAGCAUAUCAAUACACUAUAGUUUAUUGUUGCUUCGGAUUGGUUGAACUCCAUCGAAAGCAGAUGAUUUCGUAAACUGUAGAAAUGUCAGUUUGAAGUUAAAGCAUAGCUGCAAUAAAUUUGUAUUAGACACAAGUUUUCUGCAUCUUUGUACUAUUUUUUUAUUAAUGAAAACUCUUUUUACAUGGCUUUCAAGUUAAAUGCACUGAAAAGUGUGUGCUUUUUAACAAUAUUUAUCCAUGCUUUUCUGGACAACUGAGGGAGCUGUUGCUGUAAAAACCAUCUAGGGAAAACAUAGUUCAGAGCAUAGGUCUUUCUGUUCAAAUUGUGAACCCAGACUUAACUGAAAACAUUUCUGAGACGGGUUGAA
Molecule: long non-coding RNA, 919 nt
Organism: Acanthaster planci (crown-of-thorns starfish)
Lineage: Eukaryota; Metazoa; Echinodermata; Asteroidea; Valvatida; Acanthasteridae
Source: RefSeq, a predicted model, not a curated record